RNAcentral lists this ribosomal RNA (467 nucleotides) under uncultured bacterium. RNAcentral describes it as "partial 16S ribosomal RNA". It matches the Rfam family "Bacterial small subunit ribosomal RNA", at positions 28 to 507 of the family's 1533-position model. The record is from RNAcentral.
GACGAACGCUGGCGGCGUGCUUAACACAUGCAAGUCGAACGGAAAGGCCUCUUUCGGGGGGUACUCGAGUGGCGAACGGGUGGGUAACACGUGAGUAACCUGCCCUUGACUUUGGGAUAACUUCAGGAAACUGGGGCUAAUACCGGAUAGGAGCUCCUGCUGCAUGGUGGGGGUUGGAAAGUUUCGGCGGUUGGGGAUGGACUCGCGGCUUAUCAGCUUGUUGGUGGGGUAGUGGCUUACCAAGGCUUUGACGGGUAGCCGGCCUGAGAGGGUGACCGGCCACAUUGGGACUGAGAUACGGCCCAGACUCCGACGGGAGGCAGCAGUGGGGAAUAUUGCACAAUGGGUGGAAGCCUGAUGCAGCAACGCCGUGUGCGGGAUGACGGCCUUCGGGUUGUAAACCGCUUUCGCUCAUGACGAAGCUUUGUGUGACGGUAGUGGGUAAAGAAGCACCGGCUAACUACGUG